AAGACUCUCGGCAACGGAUAUCUCGGCUCUUGCAUCGAUGAAGAACGUAGCGAAAUGCGAUACUUGGUGUGAAUUGCAGAAUCCCGUGAACCAUCGAGUCUUUGAACGCAAGUUGCGCCCGAAGCCAUUAGGCCGAGGGCACGCCUGCCUGGGUGUY
RNAcentral lists this ribosomal RNA (157 nucleotides) under Sophora davidii. RNAcentral describes it as "5.8S ribosomal RNA". It matches the Rfam family "5.8S ribosomal RNA". From Rfam's summary of the family: 5.8S ribosomal RNA (5.8S rRNA) is a component of the large subunit of the eukaryotic ribosome. It is transcribed by RNA polymerase I as part of the 45S precursor that also contains 18S and 28S rRNA. Lineage: Eukaryota; Viridiplantae; Streptophyta; Magnoliopsida; Fabales; Fabaceae. The record is from RNAcentral.